UACGUAGGGGGCAAGCGUUGUCCGGAAUCAUUGGGCGUAAAGCGCGUGUAGGCGGCCCGAUAAGUCCGCUGUGAAAGUCCAGGGCUCAACCCUGGGAUGCCGGUGGAUACUGUCGGGCUCGAGUCCGGAAGAGGCGAGUGGAAUUCCUGGUGUAGCGGUGAAAUGCGCAGAUAUCAGGAGGAACACCAAUUGCGAAGGCAGCUCGCUGGGACGUUACUGACGCUGAGACGCGAAAGCCAGGGGAGCGAACGGG
Molecule: ribosomal RNA, 253 nt
Filed under: uncultured bacterium
Lineage: Bacteria
Description: partial 16S ribosomal RNA
Rfam family: Bacterial small subunit ribosomal RNA
Source: RNAcentral